UAAAGGCCUACCAUGGCGACGAUCUGUAGCUGGUCUGAGAGGAUGAUCAGCCACACCGGGACUGAGACACGGCCCGGACUCCUACGGGAGGCAGCAGUGGGGAAUAUUGGACAAUGGGGGCAACCCUGAUCCAGCCAUGCCGCGUGUGUGAAGAAGGCCUUUUGGUUGUAAAGCACUUUAAGCAGUGAAGAAGACUCCAUGGUUAAUACCCAUGGACGAUGACAUUAGCUGCAGAAUAAGCACCGGCUAACUCUGUGCCAGCAGCCGCGGUAAUACAGAGGGUGCAAGCGUUAAUCGGAAUUACUGGGCGUAAAGCGAGCGUAGGUGGCUUGAUAAGUCAGAUGUGAAAGCCCCGGGCUUAACCUGGGAACGGCAUCUGAUACUGUUAGGCUAGAGUAGGUGAGAGGAAGGUAGAAUUCCAGGUGUAGCGGUGAAAUGCGUAGAGAUCUNGGAGGAAUACCNGAUGGCGAAGGCAGCCUUCUGGCAUCAUACUGACACUGAGGUUCGAAAGCGUGGGUAGCAAANAGGAUUAGAUACCCUGGUAGUCCACGCCGUAAACGAUGUCUACUAGUCGUUGGGUCCCUUGAGGACUUAGUGACGCAGCUAACGCAAUAAGUAGACCGCCUGGGGAGUACGGCCGCAAGGUUAAAACUCAAAUGAAUUGACGGGGGCCCGCACAAGCGGUGGAGCAUGUGGUUUAAUUCGAUGCAACGCGAAGAACCUUACCUGGUCUUGACAUAUCUAGAAUCCUGCAGAGAUGCGGGAGUGCCUUCGGGAAUUAGAAUACAGGUGCUGCAUGGCUGUCGUCAGCUCGUGUCGUGAGAUGUUGGGUUAAGUCCCGCAACGAGCGCAACCCUUGUCCUUAGUUACCAGCGGUUUGGCCGGGAACUCUAAGGAUACUGCCAGUGACAAACUGGAGGAAGGCGGGGACGACGUCAAGUCAUCAUGGCCCUUACGACCAGGGCUACACACGUGCUACAAUGGUAGGUACAGAGGGCAGCUACACAGCGAUGUGAUGCGAAUCUCAAAAAGCCUAUCGUAGUCCAGAUUGGAGUCUGCAACUCGACUCCAUGAAGUAGGAAUCGCUAGUAAUCGCGGAUCAGAAUGCCGCGGUGAAUACGUUCCC
This 1126-nucleotide ribosomal RNA is filed under the name uncultured Psychrobacter sp. Its description in RNAcentral is "bacterial SSU rRNA". It matches the Rfam family "Bacterial small subunit ribosomal RNA", at positions 258 to 1375 of the family's 1533-position model. Lineage: Bacteria; Pseudomonadati; Pseudomonadota; Gammaproteobacteria; Moraxellales; Moraxellaceae. The record is from RNAcentral.